RNAcentral lists this ribosomal RNA (615 nucleotides) under Debaryomyces hansenii. Its description in RNAcentral is "eukaryotic LSU rRNA". It matches the Rfam family "Eukaryotic large subunit ribosomal RNA", at positions 39 to 668 of the family's 3401-position model. The record is from RNAcentral. Lineage: Eukaryota; Fungi; Ascomycota; Pichiomycetes; Serinales; Debaryomycetaceae.
CAUAUCCAAAAGCGGAGGAAAAGAAACCAACAGGGAUUGCCUUAGUAACGGCGAGUGAAGCGGCAAAAGCUCAAAUUUGAAAUCUGGCACCUUCGGUGUCCGAGUUGUAAUUUGAAGAAGGUAACUUUGGAGUUGGCUCUUGUCUAUGUUCCUUGGAACAGGACGUCACAGAGGGUGAGAAUCCCGUGCGAUGAGAUGCCCAAUUCUAUGUAAAGUGCUUUCGAAGAGUCGAGUUGUUUGGGAAUGCAGCUCUAAGUGGGUGGUAAAUUCCAUCUAAAGCUAAAUAUUGGCGAGAGACCGAUAGCGAACAAGUACAGUGAUGGAAAGAUGAAAAGAACUUUGAAAAGAGAGUGAAAAAGUACGUGAAAUUGUUGAAAGGGAAGGGCUUGAGAUCAGACUUGGUAUUUUGCGAUCCUUUCCUUCUUGGUUGGGUUCCUCGCAGCUUACUGGGCCAGCAUCGGUUUGGAUGGUAGGAUAAUGACUAAGGAAUGUGGCUCUACUUCGGUGGAGUGUUAUAGCCUUGGUUGAUACUGCCUGUCUAGACCGAGGACUGCGUCUUUUGACUAGGAUGUUGGCAUAAUGAUCUUAAGCCACCCGUCUUGAAACCACGGACCA